UAGAUCUUAGUCUAAUGAAAGACUUUGAGUUUUGAACUCUACGAUAUAAGCCCAUAACUUAUAGUUCUAC
This 70-nucleotide transfer RNA is filed under the name Aphrocallistes vastus (cloud sponge). Its description in RNAcentral is "tRNA-Gln". Lineage: Eukaryota; Metazoa; Porifera; Hexactinellida; Sceptrulophora; Aphrocallistidae. The record is from RNAcentral.